GCAUAACUUUUAUUUUUCGGCCUAAUUGUUUUGUGGCCCAUUUUCCUCGAUGUAUAAAAACGAAAUUCUGACAGAGUCAGGGAUUAUUCAUCAUUCACGAAAAUAAAACAAACCCUAGCAGCCACUGCCUCAUGGAGAACUAAACAAUUAUUUUCGAUCCAUUGGUGUAUGGAAUUUUGUUCUUGAUUCUUGAGGUUCGGUUUUAUUAUCAAUUCAUAUGUUUAUGCUUAUCAUAUA
This 237-nucleotide long non-coding RNA is filed under the name Trifolium pratense (red clover). RNAcentral describes it as "long non-coding RNA (TPRA_LNC008395)". The record is from RNAcentral. Lineage: Eukaryota; Viridiplantae; Streptophyta; Magnoliopsida; Fabales; Fabaceae.